This is a non-coding RNA of Biomphalaria pfeifferi, 347 nucleotides long. The record is from the annotation of a GenBank genome assembly. Lineage: Eukaryota; Metazoa; Mollusca; Gastropoda; Planorbidae.
CUUUGUGUGAGUGUAAAUAGAAUGUAUAAUUUAUUUCCAUCUAAAGAUUCUAUUGAUGUCUAUAGUAUUUAGGUAAUCAUGAAUACAUGCAUGUCAUGUACAACUGGAAACAUUGUAAUAAUCAUUGCAACAUGUACAACAUUCUAACAAGGUUCACUGAUUGACUGAGAGAAACAGUCGAAGAAAGGCAACAUUUCAUUCCAGUCAAAUAUCAAUUCAUAUCUAUCAUAUUAUGGACUUUUCGAAAGAAAAAAUAUUUAAAAGCUGAGACAAUGUUCCAUCGUGUUCAUUGAAUCAAAGCCACGAAUUCUUCGAAGCUAAUUACACCGUCGCCAUUUUUAUCUGCU